Molecule: ribosomal RNA, 472 nt
Filed under: uncultured bacterium
Lineage: Bacteria
Description: partial 16S ribosomal RNA
Rfam family: Bacterial small subunit ribosomal RNA
Source: RNAcentral
AGUGAACGCUGGCGGUAGGCCUAACACAUGCAAGUCGAACGGCAGCACAGUAAGAGCUUGCUCUUACGGGUGGCGAGUGGCGGACGGGUGAGGAAUACAUCGGAAUCUACUUUUUCGUGGGGGAUAACGUAGGGAAACUUACGCUAAUACCGCAUACGACCUACGGGUGAAAGCAGGGGAUCUUCGGACCUUGCGCGAUUGAAUGAGCCGAUGUCGGAUUAGCUAGUUGGCGGGGUAAAGGCCCACCAAGGCGACGAUCCGUAGCUGGUCUGAGAGGAUGAGCGGCCAAACGGGGACGGAGAGAAGGCACCGGGUCGGGUGGGAGGCAGGGGUGGGGAGUAUGAAACGAUCGGCGAAAGCGUGAUGCAGCGAGGACGCGUGAGGGAUGACGUUCUGAGGGUAGUAAAAGUCUACCAGCAGGUAAGAAGCGCAACAGAAGGUCCCUGAAGAAUAAACACCGGCUACCCACGUC